UACGGGGGGGGCAAGCGUUGUUCGGAAUUACUGGGCGUAAAGGGCUCGUAGGCGGCCAACUAAGUCAGACGUGAAAUCCCUCAGCUUAACUGGGGAACUGCGUCUGAUACUGGAUGGCUUGAGUUCGGGAGAGGGAUGCGGAAUUCCUGGUGUAGCGGUGGAAUGCGCAGAUAUCAGGAGGAACACCGGUGGCGAAGGCGGGAUCCUGGGCCAGUACUGACGCUGAGGAGCGAAAGCGUGGGGAGCAAACGGG
RNAcentral lists this ribosomal RNA (253 nucleotides) under uncultured bacterium. RNAcentral's name for it is "partial 16S ribosomal RNA". It matches the Rfam family "Bacterial small subunit ribosomal RNA", at positions 524 to 776 of the family's 1533-position model. The record is from RNAcentral.